AGUGGAAGGUGAACUUUCUGAGACUUAACUUGGCUUGCUUUACUGUAAAAUGGCAAAAUAGUGGUUUGGUUUCUGUGUAAAGGGAAUAGUGAAACCAAAGCAGACGACAGUUCAAACAAAGAGGCCGCGGAGGAGAAGCCGGAGGAGGACAACGACUACCACCGCAGUGAGCAUCUGCCUGGAGUGUAACAGCAGCAAACUGCGGGGGCUGAAGCGGAAGUGGAUCCGCUGCUCAGCCCAGGCGACGGUCUU
RNAcentral lists this small RNA (252 nucleotides) under Pongo abelii (Sumatran orangutan). RNAcentral describes it as "processed transcript". Lineage: Eukaryota; Metazoa; Chordata; Mammalia; Primates; Hominidae. The record is from RNAcentral.